GGGGGGAUAACAGAAGGCGAGAAGGACCCAGCUCUCCCCUGUGGUCUGUCGCAGUACAGAAAGGAAGAAGACCCGAGAAGAAUGCUCCAGGAUGUAAGGAUGGACGAGGAUGGGAGAGAAAGAGCGAGCAACAGCAAGAAAGAGCAAAGCGAAGACUGGACAUCUGGUCUUAGGAGUCUCCAAGGCGUGGAAGAACGCACCAUCAUCUUGGGUCUGCUGUCAGGUGCAAAAUGCUGUGGACUGCUCUGCUCUGGGAAUGAAAAGUGACUCACAGUUUUGAUGUCUCCUACGUAAGAGCUUUGGGGGGGAUUCCUUGGCUUGCUGACAGACAAGGAAGGACGCAGCAGCAGUGAGGGAUUACUGGAAAAGACGGUGGGAUGAUGACAGGAAGACAUCUUGGAUCAGAGCCAAAAAAA
Long non-coding RNA from Nannospalax galili (Upper Galilee mountains blind mole rat), 416 nucleotides. RefSeq lists it as uncharacterized. The record is from RefSeq and is a predicted model, not a curated record. NCBI's taxonomy places the organism in Eukaryota, Metazoa, Chordata, Mammalia, Rodentia, Spalacidae. The transcript is spliced from 2 exons.